RNAcentral lists this long non-coding RNA (345 nucleotides) under Mytilus galloprovincialis (Mediterranean mussel). The record is from RNAcentral. Lineage: Eukaryota; Metazoa; Mollusca; Bivalvia; Mytilida; Mytilidae.
GGGUGGAGACUUUAGUGAUGACAAUGCAAUUCAUUUGCAGGUAUGUUUUCUGUUAAGGCCUUUGAGUAUGUCUAAUGUCACCUUUUCUUUUUUUUCCAGCAGGACGCGACGCAGAUUGAAGAUUCGAAGGUAUGUUUUCUGUUAAGGCCUUUGUGUAUGUCUAAUGUCGCCUUUUCUUUUUUUCUAGCAGGGCGCGACGCAGAUUGAGGAUUUUCAGGUAUGUUUUCUGUUAAGACCUUUGUGUAUGUCUAAUGUUGCUUUUCUUUUUUUCUAGCAGGGCGCGACGCAGAUUGAGGAUUCCCAGGUAUGUUUUCUGUUAAGACCUUUGUGUAUGUCUAAUGUUGU